Helicoverpa armigera (cotton bollworm) is the source of this 361-nucleotide long non-coding RNA. RefSeq lists it as uncharacterized. The transcript has 2 exons. Lineage: Eukaryota; Metazoa; Arthropoda; Insecta; Lepidoptera; Noctuidae. The record is from RefSeq and is a predicted model, not a curated record.
GGGUGCGAUUCACUAAGGCAAAACAUCUUUACAACCAAGAAAUCAUCGUUGUAACAUCAGAUGUAAAGUCGGCGGUAUUCAUUAGUUAAAAUUGCGCGAUCGUAGCGCCUCAACGAUGUUGACGGCGUGACAUAGAACUAACAUUUGGUGCCAAAUGUAUGAAAAUCGGUAUUCAGCAACACGAAACAUCCUCGCCUGCAACGACAACCUCGCCUUCGCCCUCGAUUUUAUCUGUCAAACCGAAAAGCUUGUAAAUUGUGGAUGUUUUCUUGGAUGAAGGCGAUUAAAAUAUGGCAGUUCGUCUUUCCUGUAUGAUUUUUUUGUUGGAAGAAACUAAACAUCAAGAUAAUUAAAUAAAUAA